GGAGGGAUACCCAAGUGGCUAAAGGGGGCAGACUGUAAAUCUGUUGGCUGACGCCUUCGAUGGUUCGAAUCCAUCUCCCUCCACCA
RNAcentral lists this transfer RNA (86 nucleotides) under Clostridia bacterium. Its description in RNAcentral is "tRNA-Tyr". It matches the Rfam family "tRNA". Rfam says of the family: Transfer RNA (tRNA) molecules are approximately 80 nucleotides in length. Their secondary structure includes four short double-helical elements and three loops (D, anti-codon, and T loops). Further hydrogen bonds mediate the characteristic L-shaped molecular structure. tRNAs have two regions of fundamental functional importance: the anti-codon, which is responsible for specific mRNA codon recognition, and the 3' end, to which the tRNAs corresponding amino acid is attached (by aminoacyl-tRNA synthetases). tRNAs cope with the degeneracy of the genetic code in two manners: having more than one tRNA (with a specific anti-codon) for a particular amino acid; and 'wobble' base-pairing, i.e. permitting non-standard base-pairing at the 3rd anti-codon position. The record is from RNAcentral. Lineage: Bacteria; Bacillati; Bacillota; Clostridia.